RNAcentral lists this ribosomal RNA (439 nucleotides) under uncultured bacterium. RNAcentral's name for it is "partial 16S ribosomal RNA". It matches the Rfam family "Bacterial small subunit ribosomal RNA", at positions 339 to 795 of the family's 1533-position model. The record is from RNAcentral.
CUACGGGCCGCAGCAGUGAGGAAUAUUGCACAAUGGGGGGAACCCUGAUGCAGCAACGCCGCGUGGAGGAUGACGCAUUUCGGUGUGUAAACUCCUUUUAUAUGUCAAGAAAAUGACGGUAGCAUAUGAAUAAGCACCGGCUAACCCCGUGCCAGCAGCCGCGGUAAUACGGAGGGUGCAAGCGUUACUCGGAAUCACUGGGCGUAAAGGACGCGUAGGCGGGUUGGAAAGUCAGGUGUGAAAUCCUACAGCUUAACUGUAGAACUGCACUUGAAACUUCUAAUCUAGAGUAUGGGAGGGGGAGAUGGAAUUAGUGGUGUAGGGGUAAAAUCCGUAGAUAUCUCUAGGAAUACCUAAAGCGAAGGCGAUCUCCUGGAACAUUACUGACGCUAAGGCGUGAAAGCGUGGGGAGCAAACAGGAUUAGAUACCCUCGUAGUC